RNAcentral lists this ribosomal RNA (466 nucleotides) under uncultured eukaryote. RNAcentral describes it as "SSU rRNA". It matches the Rfam family "Eukaryotic small subunit ribosomal RNA", at positions 143 to 605 of the family's 1831-position model. The record is from RNAcentral.
AUAUCUGUAGUAACAUAGAGUCUAAAUACAUGCAACAUAGUCUGACUUUUGGAAGGACUAGCACUUAUUAGAUAUUAAACCAGUCCCAGCAAUGGGGUUUUUAUGGGUGAUUCAUAGUAACUGAACAAAUCACACGGUCUUGUACUGGUGAUGUUUCAUUCAAAUUUCUGCCCUAUCAACUAGAUGGUAGUAUAUAGGACUACCAUGGUUGUAACGGGUAACGGAGGAUUAGGGUUUUGAUUCCGGAGAAGGAGCAUGAGAAACGGCUACUAUUUCUAAGGAAAGCAGCAGGCGCGCAAAUUAUUCAAUGGAAACAAUUUUCCGAAAUAGUGACAAAAAAUAUCAAUGCUGGGCACUAUGUGUCUAGUAAUUGGAAUGAGUACAAUUUAAAUCCCUUAACAAGUAACAAUUAGAGGGCAGUCUGGUGCCAGCAGCCGCGGUAAUUCCAGCUCUAAUAGCGUAUAUU